AUUGAACGCUGGCGGCAGGCCUAACACAUGCAAGUCGAGCGGAUGAAGGGAGCUUGCUCCUGGAUUCAGCGGCGGACGGGUGAGUAAUUCCUAGGAAUCUGCCUGGUAGUGGGGGAUAACGUCCGGUAACGGGCGCUAAUACCGCAUACGUCCUGAGGGAGAAAGUGGGGGAUCUUCGGACCUCACGCUAUCAGAUGAGCCUAGGUCGGAUUAGCUAGUUGGUGGGGUAAAGGCCUACCAAGGCGACGAUCCGUAACUGGUCUGAGAGGAUGAUCAGUCACACUGGAACUGAGACACGGUCCAGACUCCUACGGGAGGCAGCAGUGGGGAAUAUUGGACAAUGGGCGAAAGCAUGAUCCAGCAAUGCCGCGUGUGUGAAGAAGGUCUUCGGAUUGUAAAGCACUUUAAGUUGGGAGGAAGGGAAGUAAGUUAAUACCUUGCUGUUUUGACAUUACCAACAGAAUAAGCACCGGCUAACUUCGUG
Molecule: ribosomal RNA, 484 nt
Filed under: uncultured bacterium
Lineage: Bacteria
Description: partial 16S ribosomal RNA
Rfam family: Bacterial small subunit ribosomal RNA
Source: RNAcentral